GAAGUUGCCUAGGAAACACUUCUUCUUAGAAAAGAUUCACAAACAGACCUGGAAUGAAUCCUUCUCGCUCUUCAUACACUGAGACAGGAUGAAAUCUAAGACCAUGGCAGGGAGAAGCCGCACGCGGAGUCGCACUGUCAGGACCCAGGAUCGAUCUUAAUCAGAUUGCAAGUUCUUCAGGCUUGGAACGAUAUCACUACAAUGAACAGCCAAGUAUAAAGGGUCCCCGGGGAAACUCCGACCGGCCUGCGCACUGGGAGAAUGGGGUGGAGCCACGGAAGUUCACGCGCUUUGCAGAGGGGAGGAGCCUGGCCUCUCCGGAUCCUGGAUAGUACCUGAGAUUCAAUCGCUGAGGCGGGAAAACCGGCUAGCAGGACUGUUGCUUUGCUGAGAGUCCCUGUUUCCCUUUUUUUCCUUUUGGCCCGAUAACUUCCAUUUUUCUCACCCUUCAAAGUCUCUGUGACCCUAAUCUCUCAUGGCCAUGUGACAAGGGCCCUAAAGAGAAAGUCCUACAACAAUAGCUUUCAUAUGAUAAUAUCAGUGAUAAGCUGUCGUUUACAAUGGACGCCUCUCAGGAAGGUGUCCCUCAAUAACUUGAACAUUUAAAAAAUUAAAAGAUUGAUUGUAGAGAGUCCACCUAUGAAAUGAGCACAUAUUAGGGCAGAGCGAGAAAAUCGACAUAAAGAAACAGAGCAGCUGGCAUGUCUACAAAACUCAACUUGAACAUAGUGGGGGAUAUUAGCA
RNAcentral lists this long non-coding RNA (744 nucleotides) under Pan troglodytes (chimpanzee). RNAcentral's name for it is "long non-coding RNA NONPTRT004369". The record is from RNAcentral. Lineage: Eukaryota; Metazoa; Chordata; Mammalia; Primates; Hominidae.